Molecule: long non-coding RNA, 650 nt
Organism: Rosa chinensis
Lineage: Eukaryota; Viridiplantae; Streptophyta; Magnoliopsida; Rosales; Rosaceae
Exons: 2
Source: RefSeq, a predicted model, not a curated record
AGCAGAGAAAAAUUCUCUCGUUCUAUCUAGAACUCUCUCUCCCUCUCUCCUCUCUUCACAGGUUUCGAUGUUCUGUAAUCGGAUUUAUUGUUCGAUGAUGUGAUCCUAUUACUCACCCUCUGUCUAUCUCUCCUCUCUUCACAGGUUUCGAUGUUCUGUAAUCGGAUUUAUUGUUCGAUGAUGUGAUCCUAUUGCUCACCCUCUGUUUAUGAGAUCACCAUUACGAUGAAAUCGAGGCGGUGGGGGGUUUGGUCGUUUCAAAGGUUUCCUGAACUUUUCAAUUGACUCAGGUGAUGGGAAGUUUUUUCUUUCCUAGAAAUGGACUUAUGGGCCAAGGAUCCUAAAUAAAGAUAGAUAGUAAUGUUCACACGGUCACAAAUGUGAUUCAAUCAAGGAUUGUGUGGCCACUCACAAUUGUAUUUGAUAUCAAGUGUUAAGAUUAAAAGAAUCAAUUUUAGGUGUUUUAAUCUCAACCAUUCAAAUUAAAUUCAAGGAUCGGUGACUACAAAUUUUUUGAUCGCCUGGUGAUCGUGUGAUCAUCACUGAAUAAAUAGAUAUCAUUAGUGUAGUGCUUCAAGUUGAUAUGCCUAGUUUUUGUAAAUGUGUCUUAUAAUUCAAAUUCAGCACCAUCAUAACCACUGCAAGUGGCC